UGCGUAGGCGGACUAAUAAGUCAGUGGUGAAAUCUUUCGGCUCAACCGAGAAACUGCCAUUGAUACUGUUAGUUUUGAGUUCGGUUGAGGUAGGCGGAAUGUGUAAUGUAGCGGUGAAAUGCUUAGAUAUUACACAGAACACCAAUUGCGUAGGCAGCUUACUAGACCGACACUGACGCUGAGGCACGAAAGCGUGGGGAGCGAACAGGAUUAGAUACCCUGGUAGUCC
This 229-nucleotide ribosomal RNA is filed under the name uncultured bacterium. Its description in RNAcentral is "partial 16S ribosomal RNA". It matches the Rfam family "Bacterial small subunit ribosomal RNA", at positions 568 to 796 of the family's 1533-position model. The record is from RNAcentral.